UAAAGAAAUAUCAAAUAUUAAAUGUCAACAUAAAGAGUUAUCAAUCAUCAAAACCUCAAGAUGUCUUCUGAGGCAUCAAUGUCUCCUCAUCUAGCCCCUCCAAUUUUUUCAGCUAAAGCCAUAACAAAAGGAAUGGUACGAGAAAAUGAGGUAGUUAAUAGAUCAUCAAAUGAGAAUCUUUUUGUUAUUGCAAAGUGAAGAUGAACAUGCCAAUGUAGAAGAAUAAGUAAACAGUUAAAUUCCUAUGCUGAAUAAGAAGAAUAAGUAGACAACCAAAUUGAUAGAAUCAUAAAACUAAAAUGAAUAAUAUAUAAAUUAAUUAAUGGUUUUUGAUUCCUCUGACUCUGAGGAUGCAAUGUAGUUUCUCUUUCAUUCCAUGAAGUUAAGAAGGAAUAACAUUCUGAUCACUAAACAACUAGACUAGAAUAUUCCAUUAGCAAGAAAACAUAGAUAGAAACAGAAUAAGAUUACCCCAGAUAACAAAAUCAGUUUUUUUCAUCAACUUUGUGUGGAAUCAAAAGAGUAUCAUGCAGAAGUAUACAAGUUACACACCAGAAAUAGUGAAAAGCAGCAUAAGCAGUUUGAAGUAUGAGGAAUUUUCAAAUUCAAAAAGAAUGAAAACCAGAUAACCCCAAUCAUAAACACCAUUAUCAAAUCAAAUAAAAAAUCAACCAAAAAUAACCUUGCAAAUGAAUAAAACAUAUAUAAAAUUAAAAACAGCCACAGCAAUGAAUCCUAACAAUUCUGCCUACACAAUGAACAUUAACAGAAAUUUGAGCAGAAAUUGAGCAACAAAUUUUUGCCUACACAAUUCUGCCUACACUAUGAACAGCCACACAAUUCUGCCUACACAAUGAACAUUACCAAUUCUGCCUACACAAUUCUACCUACACAAUGAAUAUUAACAAAUUUCAGCUUAUUUAGCAAAGGAACGAACAGAAAUUGAGCAACAAAUUACAGCUUAUUUACAAAACAGAGUAACAAAUUUGAGCAGAGGAACGAACAGAAAUUGAGCAACAAAUUACAGCUUAUUUACAAAACAGAUUAUUUAUUUCUCAUGCUAUUGAGCAGAGGAACGAAGAAGGAAGAAGAUGAGCAGAGGAAGUUCACAGAGGAAGUUCACAGAUACUCGAAGUUCACAUAGGAAGUUCACAGAAAAUUAAACAGAAAUCUAAGUUCAGUAGUUCACAGAGGAAGUUCAGAGUAUCAAUUUCAUGUUUCUUAUACUAGAGAAGAUGAGCAGAGGCGAAGAACAAAGAAGAUGAGCAGAGGACGAGUCACUCACCUGGCGUCGAUGGAGGGCUACUGGUGUUGACUGUUGAGGACCGCGCGACGAUGAAGACGAUGCGAGCUACUGCCUGCUGGUGUUCAGAAGAUGAAGACGAUGGAGAUGGAGGGCUACUGGGCAGGGAACCAGGC
This 1419-nucleotide long non-coding RNA is filed under the name Arachis ipaensis. Its description in RNAcentral is "long non-coding RNA (AIPA_LNC001176)". The record is from RNAcentral. Lineage: Eukaryota; Viridiplantae; Streptophyta; Magnoliopsida; Fabales; Fabaceae.